This 493-nucleotide ribosomal RNA is filed under the name uncultured bacterium. RNAcentral describes it as "bacterial SSU rRNA". It matches the Rfam family "Bacterial small subunit ribosomal RNA", at positions 15 to 507 of the family's 1533-position model. The record is from RNAcentral.
GAUCCUGGCUCAGAUUGAACGCUGGCGGAAUGCUUUACACAUGCAAGUCGAACGGUAGAGGGGGCAACCCUUGAGAGUGGCGAACGGGUGAGUAAUAUAUCGGAACGUGCCCAGUCUGGGGGAUAACGUAGCGAAAGUUACGCUAAUACCGCAUACGAUCUACGGAUGAAAGCGGGGGACUCGCAAGAGCCUCGCGCGAUUGGAGCGGCCGAUAUCAGAUUAGGUAGUUGGUGGGGUAAAGGCUCACCAAGCCAACGAUCUGUAGCUGGUCUGAGAGGACGACCAGCCACACUGGAACUGAGACACGGUCCAGACUCCUACGGGAGGCAGCAGUGGGGAAUUUUGGACAAUGGACGCAAGCCUGAUCCAGCAAUGCCGCGUGCAGGACGAAGGCCUUCGGGUUGUAAACUGCUUUUGUACGGAACGAAACGGCUCUCUCUAAUAAAAGGGGCUAAUGACGGUACCGUAAGAAUAAGCACCGGCUAACUACGUG